AUGGAGGUAGAGUCAGCGAGAGCGAGUGACAGCGUCAGCGAGAGCAGGUGGUCGAAGCUGGCUGUGACGCUUCCCGUCAGGAACGUCCAGGCUCUCGCGGCGUCCACCGGCGAGCUGACGGCCGAGGUGAUUGAGCGGUACAUACAGCCGGACAUCGACGCGUUCGCUGUUCUCGAUGAGCACUCCGACGAGGUUCCGGUGAUCGACGUCAGCAAGCUUUCGAGCCCCGAGUCCGUCGAGGCAGAGGCCGCUAAGCUCAAGUUUGCCUGUGCGGAGUGGGGAUUUUUUCAGGUUGUAAAUCAUGGAAUACCAGAUGAGGUCAUCAUGGGUAUGAAGCAUGACAUUCAGAAGUUUUUUCAACUCCCCCCCGAUGUUAAGAAUGCAUAUGCUCAGCGGCAAGGGGAUCUUCAAGGUUAUGGUCAAGCGUUUGUUGUCUCUGAUGAUCAAAAGCUAGAAUGGGCUGACAUGUUUGCGCUCUUCGCCCAACCACCCGAAGCCCGUGAUAUGAGUUACUGGCCAUGUGAACCCCAUACUUUCAGGAAUUUUAUUGAAAAGUACUCUUCGGAGGUGAUGAAACUUGCUCAUUCUCUUGGCGUCUUCGUUGCAAAAACACUAGAUCUUAAUCCUGAAUUGGUUGAAGACAAACAUGUGGCGCAAUUUCUCAGGAUGGGCUACUACCCUCCAUGCACGCCAAUGCCAGAAAAGGUUUUAGGCUUCAAACCGCAUUCUGAUAUGUCAUUCCUAACUAUUCUACUGGAAGUUAAUUCAGUUCAAGGCUUACAAAUUAGAAGGCAUGGUGCAUGGAUACCUGUGAAACCAUGUCGCGACGCACUAUUGGUGAAUGUGGGUGACCUUCUUGAGAUUAUGACAAAUGGGAAGUACAAGAGCAUUGAGCACAGGGUUACCAUAAAUGCCCACAAGGAGCGACUAACCGUGUCUGCAUUUCACCUCCCAAAUUAUGAUGGAAUAGUUUCACCAAUUUUGGAAACUAGAGAAGAGAAGUUGUUAUACAAGACAGUGAAAGUAGAAGAGUAUGCAAGACUUUUUUUCACAAACAAACUUGAAGGAAAGAGAGCCCUAGAUCAUGCGAAGUUAUCCCAAUAA
Molecule: ribosomal RNA, 1104 nt
Filed under: Triticum aestivum (bread wheat)
Lineage: Eukaryota; Viridiplantae; Streptophyta; Magnoliopsida; Poales; Poaceae
Description: partial small subunit ribosomal RNA
Source: RNAcentral